This 63-nucleotide transfer RNA is filed under the name Podarcis lilfordi (Lilford's wall lizard). RNAcentral's name for it is "tRNA.Ala". The stretch from base 2 to 55 matches the Rfam family "tRNA", at positions 9 to 63 of the family's 71-position model. Rfam says of the family: Transfer RNA (tRNA) molecules are approximately 80 nucleotides in length. Their secondary structure includes four short double-helical elements and three loops (D, anti-codon, and T loops). The record is from RNAcentral. Lineage: Eukaryota; Metazoa; Chordata; Lepidosauria; Squamata; Lacertidae.
GAGCUCAGUGGUGGAGCAUCUGCUUUGCACGCAGAAGAUCCUAGGUUCAACCCAGGGGCAUCU